Molecule: ribosomal RNA, 228 nt
Filed under: Triticum aestivum (bread wheat)
Lineage: Eukaryota; Viridiplantae; Streptophyta; Magnoliopsida; Poales; Poaceae
Description: partial small subunit ribosomal RNA
Source: RNAcentral
AUAUGAAACUUGCUCAGAAUUUUGUGUAGAUUAAUAAUAUCCAACUUUCAUCUAUGUUUGAAAUGUUUAAAAUUUUGUUUGCAUUAAUUUGCUCCUAUGCCAUGCUAAAAUGAUUUUAUUCAUAACUAAAUAACCGUAGCUCCGAUUUAAAUAAUCUUUAUAUGUAAAUGGGGUAGAAUUUUGCCUAGUUUAACAUGGCGCACUCAUCUUGCAUGUUAAACAACUCUA